AUUCCUAAGGUUGUGAAGUCUCCAUUGGGA
RNAcentral lists this non-coding RNA (30 nucleotides) under Mus musculus (house mouse). The record is from RNAcentral. RNAcentral also lists the same sequence under 1 other name. Lineage: Eukaryota; Metazoa; Chordata; Mammalia; Rodentia; Muridae.